This 468-nucleotide ribosomal RNA is filed under the name uncultured bacterium. Its description in RNAcentral is "partial 16S ribosomal RNA". It matches the Rfam family "Bacterial small subunit ribosomal RNA", at positions 28 to 507 of the family's 1533-position model. The record is from RNAcentral.
GACGAACGCUGGCGGCGUGCUUAACACAUGCAAGUCGAACGGCAAGGCCCUGCUAUUGUGGGGUGCUCGAGUGGCGAACGGGUGAGUAACACGUGAGUAACCUGCCCUUGACUUUGGGAUAACUUCAGGAAACUGGGGCUAAUAACGGAUAGGAGCUCCUGCUGCAUGGUGGGGGUUGGUAAGUUUCGGCGGUUGGGGAUGGACUCGCGGCUUAUCAGCUUGUUGGUGGGGUAGUGGCUUACCAAGGCUUUGACGGGUAGCCGGCCUGAGAGGGUGACCGGCCACAUUGGGACUGAGAUACGGCCCAGACUCCUACGGGAGGCAGCAGUGGGGAAUAUUGCACAAUGGGCGGAAGCCGGAUGCAGCAACGCCGCGUGCGGGAUGACGGCCUUCGGUUUGUAAACCGCUUUCGCCUGUGACGAAGCGUGAGUGACGGUAAUGGGUAAAGAAGCACCGGCUAACUACGUG